This is an RNA transcript of Oryzias melastigma (Indian medaka), 1593 nucleotides long. RefSeq lists it as uncharacterized. The record is from RefSeq and is a predicted model, not a curated record. Lineage: Eukaryota; Metazoa; Chordata; Actinopteri; Beloniformes; Adrianichthyidae. The transcript has 3 exons.
UAGAUUGGGUCUUUUAAACGGUAAAGCAGCAAACAAUUCAAGUAAAUUUUAGUUGUGACUUAAAUUAGUUGGGUCAAAGGAACUGUAAAGCUUUUUGGAGCUGGGAGCAAACCAAUCAAUAGACAAGAUGGUUGGAAAAGCUGGUCAUGGUCGUCAGUCUUCUACAGCGUUCUGAGUUUCCUUUUUUUUCACAAUGCUAUAAUCUGACUCCUAUGCUAAUUUAUUGUGUUUUCCAGGCUCUAAUGGUUCCACUACAGCUGAACAGGCAAAACCUACAACUGCUCCCACUUUAAUAUCAACUUUAACAUCCAACAGCAGCACAACUCAGAAUCAAACAACAACUCAGCGGGUCACCACUGAAGCAGCUUCAACCCCCCCAGGAACACUGGGAACAGCUGAAACCACUCCGAGCACUCGUCCUCCGACUACUCUGAUCACAGCAACACUCAAUGAGACAGUUACCCAGAAACACACGGCCUCACCUGGAACACCAAAUGUGGCGACAAACACAACCGUACAUACAACCAGCCAAGCUUCCUCAUCCAUCCGGAUCAAAGGUGACUUGGCGGCAAACCCCGGCCUCAUAGCCAUCAUUUCCCUCUUCUGCAUCGUCCUCGGCCUGACGGUGGUGGUUCUGGCAGUAAAAUGUAUCCAGUCACCAAGAUCCAACUUUGAGAGGCUUGAAGAUGUGCCCAUGGGCAAGGUGAAUGAAGAGUCUCCAUUUGCCCUUUACUCCAAAUGAUGGCGGCGAGGAGAUCUGUCCAGUCUGCAGGGUGGAUCAGAUGUUUCUGGACAUCUCCAGAAAUAUUUUGGACAUCAGUCAGCAGACAUUCCCAUUCUCAGUUCACAUUGUUGUUGCACUUUUGUCAUUGCAAGGGGAACAUUCCUGCUUCUGCUUUGACUUGUUUCUCUGCUGCUGGUAAAUCAAAAUCAAAAUAGUGAUUACAAACAAUAUUUUGCUCGAUUUUAUUUGGUUUAAAAGGAAAAACAUAUAUAUAUAUAUAUUUUCUUUACAAAUAUUGUUGCAUUUAACUUUGUGUUCAAUUGAUAAAAACAAUUAAAUAAUAUAAAAAUUAUAAUUUUAUGACAGUUUUUGGAUAUUUUCACUUUAAAAUUCAGUCAACAGCACCAAAAAUAUUUCAAUAAUUGAAAGUUUGCAAAUGCAUGAGCGAUUUGGAUAUAAAAAUAUGUUCUCCACUGUCGGAGUGUUGAUUAUUAAAUUCAUUUUUUAACUACUGGCAAAGUUAUAUUUAAAAAAAAUGAUUUCUGAAUAAUUGCAGUAAAAAAUCAAAUUUUAAAUCUAAAUAAAUGCUGAGUAAACGCACUAACUAGAAUCAUAUUUGAUUUCUGUAAUCACUCACUUUUAUCCUAUUGUUUUCAGUUGCAUUAACGAUAAAUCCUGUUCUAUAAAGAGAAUAUUUAGCUCCGGUCCACCUUGUUCAAGUCUCCAUAUUGGCAGUGUUACGCCUUUUUUAGUGUCAAUAAAGUUUUAGAUGGAAUGCAAAACAAAGCUCCUGUUGUCUUUUGGAAAUGUGUUUAUUUCUUUAAAAGCUGCUAGUUUAUGUUUUCAGCCAGUGGAGGAUUUUUGCUUUA